Molecule: transfer RNA, 58 nt
Filed under: Caulobothrium sp. MZUSP 8009
Lineage: Eukaryota; Metazoa; Platyhelminthes; Cestoda; Tetraphyllidea
Description: tRNA-Arg
Source: RNAcentral
AGCAUAAUCAAUUCUAUGUUACGGCCAUAGAUAGGGUAACGAGUUUUACCAUAUGCUU